This 253-nucleotide ribosomal RNA is filed under the name uncultured bacterium. RNAcentral describes it as "partial 16S ribosomal RNA". It matches the Rfam family "Bacterial small subunit ribosomal RNA", at positions 524 to 776 of the family's 1533-position model. The record is from RNAcentral.
UACGUAGGGGGCAAGCGUUGUCCGGAAUCAUUGGGCGUAAAGCGCGUGUAGGCGGUUACGUAAGUCUGCUGUGAAAGUCGGAGGCUCAACCUUCGAAAGCCGGUGGAUACUGCGUGACUAGAGUACGGAAGAGGAGAGUGGAAUUCCUGGUGUAGCGGUGAAAUGCGCAGAUAUCAGGAGGAACACCAACGGCGAAGGCAGCUCUCUGGGACGUUACUGACACUGAGGCGCGAAAGCGUGGGGAGCGAACAGG